AGAGAAGUAGGUGCCGCCCCGCACAGGGGCGACGCUAAUAGACCACUAACAAUGCAAGGAGAGGCCAACACCCGAAGAACCCAACCAAAGCACCGCACCGGAACCAAAACCCUCAAAGCUUCUG
RNAcentral lists this small RNA (124 nucleotides) under Paraburkholderia bryophila. RNAcentral's name for it is "sRNA Bp1_Cand684_SIPHT". Lineage: Bacteria; Pseudomonadati; Pseudomonadota; Betaproteobacteria; Burkholderiales; Burkholderiaceae. The record is from RNAcentral.